Molecule: ribosomal RNA, 468 nt
Filed under: uncultured bacterium
Lineage: Bacteria
Description: partial 16S ribosomal RNA
Rfam family: Bacterial small subunit ribosomal RNA
Source: RNAcentral
GACGAACGCUGGCGGCGUGCUUAACACAUGCAAGUCGAACGGAAAGGCCCUGCUUUUGUGGGGUGCUCGAGUGGCGAACGGGUGAGUAACACGUGAGUAACCUGCCCUUGACUUUGGGAUAACUUCAGGAAACUGGGGCUAAUACCGGAUAGGAGCUCCUGCUGCAUGGUGGGGGUUGGAAAGUUUCGGCGGUUGGGGAUGGACUCGCGGCUUAUCAGCUUGUUUGUGGGGUAGUGGCUUACCAAGGCUUUGACGGGUAGCCGGCCUGAGAGGGUGACCGGCCACAUUGGGACUGAGAUACGGCCCAGACUCCUACGGGAGGCAGCAGUGGGGAAUAUUGCACAAUGGGGGGAAGCCUGAUGCAGCAACGCCGCGUGCGGGAUGACGGCCUUCGGGUUGUAAACCGCUUUCGCCUGUGACGAAGCGUGAGUGACGGUAAUGGGUAAAGAAGCACCGGCUAACUACGUG